CGGUCAUCGUUAUAAACACCUACUAUUCUCCGAUUCGCUUCUUAUCAUUUCCAGAAAUCGAGGGUUCCUGUUUUCUUCGGUGAAGCCCAAUCAUCGCCCUUUAAGACGAUAAGAUGAGCCGCAGUUCACGUGCCAGUCGAACCAUCUAUGUUGGCAACCUUCCUGGUGAUAUUCGGGAGAGGGAGGUGGAAGAUCUAUUUUAUAAGUAUGGACCCAUUAUUGAUAUUGAUUUGAAGAUUCCCCCUAGACCUCCUGGUUAUGCUUUCGUUGAGUUUGAAGAUCCAAGGGAUGCUGAAGAUGCUAUUAUUGGCCGCGAUGGAUGUAAUUUUGAUGGGUAUAGGUUACGGGUUGAGCUUGCACAUGGUGGGAGAGGACGGUCCUCAUCAUAUGACCGGUAUAGCAGUUACAGUAGUGGUGGGGGUCGUGGUGGUGUCUCUAGGCGCUCAGACUACCGUGUCUUGGUCACUGGUUUACCUUCAUCAGCUUCAUGGCAAGACCUGAAGGACCACAUGCGGCGGGCUGGUGAUGUUUGUUUCUCGCAAGUGUUCCGUGAUGACAGAGGGACAACUGGAAUUGUUGACUAUACAAACUAUGACGACAUGAAAUAUGCAAUAAGGAAACUUGAUGACUCUGAGUUCCGCAAUGCAUUUUCACGAGCAUAUAUAAGGGUGAAGGAGUAUGAUUCAAGGAGGAGCUUAUCUCGGAGCAGAAGUCCUAGCUACUCGAGGAGCCGUAGCAUUAGUCGUGGUCCUAGUUACAGCCGUAGCAGGAGCCGUAGUCAAAGCAUUUCACCAAGGGUUAAGGCAUCACGGCGUUAUUUAUCUAGAUCUGCAUCCCCUCGUUCCCGUUCAGUGUCAAAUGGGCUGUCUGUAUCAAGUGUUUUCCAAGCUGACAGUUUUCCUUAGCGCGACUUAAGCGUCUUGCAUGAAAAGAACAUAUCAGGCUGCAGUUUUCUCGUCUUUGCAUAUUUGAAAGUAAUCUUGUUUGUUUUCUAGAUAAGGGCCUUUUUGCGGCGUUCAGGGGAUUGGAUACUGUUAUGGUUGUGAGCUGACACCCAUCGGGAGCGGAGUGGGGAAUAAAGGAUGGGUUGGCAUUUUAGAGCUGGAUUAUCAUGGACUUAUUAGUGGGGACUUGGACCGGACAACCAGCCGUAGAAUCAAAGCUGAGGAAUCUGGAUGUGGAUUGUUGUGUUCUCUGCUGUCAUUUUCUUUUCUAUUGCAAUUCUUUUGCAGAUGCUUUCCAUGUCACAAAAGAUUUUAUAUAAAAUUUUUAUCCUCUCGUAUAUGGUAAUAUUAUGUGGAAGAGGACCUUGAGGUUUUUCAGACAAUCUUGAAUAAAGCUUAUUGAAGCCCAUGCUAUGAUUAUUGAAUUCGACUUGUGGUAACUUUUUUGCAGGUCCAGGUCGAGAUCCCCCUAUGAUUCUCCUCCACGUAAGAAACGAGUGAGCCAAAACCCGGUUUCAAGGAAACGUAGCCCUUCUCCUUACUAUUCUGAUCGUAGCAUGGACUGAAUGCCCUCGAAUGGUAGCACUCGUAUCUGUUGGAGGUUACUAGUUCUUUUGCACUCGUUAUUCAUGGAUGCUGUAAAACUUGUUAAGAGCUUUUAGACUUUAUAUGAACGGAGUCUAAAGAACUGAUAUAAAAAUUAAACUGGUGGUGGUGAUGAUAUUCUCAUGAUGUUCUAUGUAGGAUACUGGUGGUACCCAACAUUGCAUGAUUAAACCAUCUGUGUGCGAGCAGCGUUCUCUUGCUGCUUACUGUGUUUGGUUUUAUUUUUGUUGUGAAAGUGGGUUGUGUUUUUCA
Molecule: RNA transcript, 1802 nt
Organism: Asparagus officinalis (garden asparagus)
Lineage: Eukaryota; Viridiplantae; Streptophyta; Magnoliopsida; Asparagales; Asparagaceae
Gene name: serine/arginine-rich splicing factor SR30-like
Exons: 16
Source: RefSeq, a predicted model, not a curated record